This 254-nucleotide long non-coding RNA is filed under the name Solanum tuberosum (potato). Its description in RNAcentral is "long non-coding RNA (STUB_LNC008251)". The record is from RNAcentral. Lineage: Eukaryota; Viridiplantae; Streptophyta; Magnoliopsida; Solanales; Solanaceae.
UUCAAAAGAGCAUUUCAUAUUUAAAACUUAGGAGAGUUAUCCUUCAAUACGAGAGACUUAUGUCCUUUCUCUUACCUUGUAAGUUACAAUGGUUUUCUUUGCAAAUUCUCAUGCUAUAGACAAUAUUCAAGACAUGAUUGACCAAUCACCCGGGCCUCAAUUUCAUAAAAAAUUGGGGUCAAUUGUAGAAUCCUUCGAAAGUGUUCCUCUUUGUUCGGACCCAAAUCAUUUGAACAAUUAUGAUAUCUUGACAC